This 735-nucleotide ribosomal RNA is filed under the name uncultured Atopobium sp. RNAcentral's name for it is "bacterial SSU rRNA". It matches the Rfam family "Bacterial small subunit ribosomal RNA", at positions 28 to 776 of the family's 1533-position model. The record is from RNAcentral. Lineage: Bacteria; Bacillati; Actinomycetota; Coriobacteriia; Coriobacteriales; Atopobiaceae.
GAUGAACGCCGGCGGCGCGCCUAACACAUGCAAGUCGAACGGUUAAAGCACCUAUUGGUGUGUAUAAAGUGGCGAACGGCUGAGUAACACGUGGGCAACCUGCCCUCCUCUUGGGGAUAGCCUCGGGAAACCGAGGAUAAUACCCGAUACUUCAAUGUGGCCGCAUGACGACAUUGAGAAAGCUUUUGCGGAGAAGGAUGGGCCCGCGGCCUGUUAGCUUGUUGGUGGGGUAGAGGCCUACCAAGGCAAUGAUGGGUAGCUGGGUUGAGAGACCGACCAGCCAGAUUGGGACUGAGACACGGCCCAGACUCCUACGGGAGGCAGCAGUGGGGAAUCUUGCACAAUGGGCGAAAGCCUGAUGCAGCGACGCCGCGUGCGGGAAGAAGGCCUUCGGGUUGUAAACCGCUUUCAGCAGGGACGAGGCGAAAGUGACGGUACCUGCAGAAGAAGCCCCGGCUAACUACGUGCCAGCAGCCGCGGUAAUACGUAGGGGGCAAGCGUUAUCCGGAUUCAUUGGGCGUAAAGCGCUCGUAGGCGGUCUGUUAGGUCGGGAGUUAAAUCCGGAGGCUCAACCUCCGCCCGCUCCCGAUACCGGCAGACUUGAGUUUGGUAGGGGAAGGUGGAAUUCCUAGUGUAGCGGUGGAAUGCGCAGAUAUUAGGAAGAACACCAGUGGCGAAGGCGGCCUUCUGGGCCAUAACUGACGCUGAGGAGCGAAAGCUAGGGGAGCAAACAGG